AUGGCUCAGGAUGAACGCUAGCGGCAGGCCUAACACAUGCAAGUCGCGGGGCAGCACGGGUAGCAAUACCUGGUGGCGACCGGCGCACGGGUGCGUAACGCGUAUGCAACCUCGCCCCCAUCAGGGGGAAUAGCCCGCCGAAAGGCGGAUUAAUGCCCCAUAGGCCCAGGGCGCCGCAUGGCGCUAUGGGUAAAGCUCCGGCGGAUGGGGAUGGGCAUGCGUGCCAUUAGCUAGUUGGGGCGGUAACGGCGCACCAAAGGCGACGAUGGCUAGGGGGUCUGAGAGGAUGGUCCCCCACACUGGUACUGAGACACGGACCAGACUCCUACGGGAGGCAGCAGUGAGGAAUAUUGGUCAAUGGGCGGAAGCCUGAACCAGCCAUGCCGCGUGCAGGAAGAAGGAUCUAUGGUUCGUAAACUUCUUUGCGAGGGGAAUAAAGUGCAGGACGUGUCCUGUUUUGUAUGUACCCUGAGAAUAAGGAUCGGCUAACUCCGUGCCAGCCGCGGC
This 507-nucleotide ribosomal RNA is filed under the name uncultured bacterium. Its description in RNAcentral is "bacterial SSU rRNA". It matches the Rfam family "Bacterial small subunit ribosomal RNA", at positions 19 to 518 of the family's 1533-position model. The record is from RNAcentral.